UGGCCUCAGGCAAGCGGACUCAUUAAGUUCUCUGGGCCUCUCUUCCCUCAGAAAGGACUCUAACCCUGAUCACACUCAUCCUCUCCUCGCUGUGCCCCGUUUUAGAGGCUCAGUUUUGUCUCUCAUCUCUGGCCCCAAAGACUCUCAAAUUGGCCCUGGCUUCCUCUCUUUGCACCUGCGUGCCUGCUGUUCAAGGUCAGAAUUCACAUCCAUCACCUUGUAACUACUCCUGGCAGCAUAGGCCUCCUGGACCAGUGCUCCAGCCGGUGUUCCCUGGCCCUCCUGGAAGAGUGUGGGCAGCGAGCUACCACCAGCCUGGGGCCUCCUUGCACACCUCUUGUCGGGAACUGGGACAGGCACCAUCUUCAUGGUCCCACAUCAGAUAGCAAAAGUGUGUUGAAUGAACGAAUGAGAAAAAGCCAGAGGUUUGAAGAUGUCUGAAGCCAAGAUGCUCUUUCUAUAUAAAUGAAACAGUUGAAGGACAGAUUUUCUAAUGGAAAUGGCUACCCCCCCCCCAAAAUAUCUUUUUAUGGAGGGAUUUGUAAAAAGUUAACACACACACCUCUAAACAUUUUAACAUUUAAGCCCUACAAUAACAGGAAAAAAAAUCUGUUCUGGCUCUUGAUAUAUUAUAUCCUUAAAUAGUUCUAGAUUCAAAGAGCUUUCCUCAUUUAACCCUUAUAAUCACACUAUGAGGCAGAUGUUAUUUGCAUCCAUUGUACAGGAGAGGACACUGAGAUUCAGAGAAGGUGGGCGACUUGCCUGUGGGCACACAGCCCGUGGUUGGCAGAACACAGACAGUUACACCUGCAGCUGCUUCAAAUGGCAAGUCAUGCUCUUGACCUUGGUGUUCAGCUUGCGUAGUUCAGUGUUGGUUAAUUUUGUUUGUAUGACUAAGGCUGUUAAACGAUUUGGUUCCUUUUUUGUGUUUGUUUUCGAUCUUCGGGGAUUCUCUAAGGUUGAUCCAGGGCUCUGGCUGUCCCCACCUUUUUCCCUGCUUGGGAGUCUGGUUCCCCUGACAUCGACAUCAGCAAAAUCACCUGCUGGAGGAGGGUCUGCAGCUGGAAGCCUUCCCGGGCAUUGUGGUGGGCAACCAGCCGGCACCCUUUGUCACCAGACCUCCACCAGGACAAGCUCAGUGCUGAUUCCCAGGAGGGGCUUGGGGUAGGAAAAGAAAGGAUGUGUCUGAAAAGGAAACAAAUGUUCCAAGAUGCCCCCAUUCACCAGGAAAAGCUGGGGAGGUAAUUCACAGCACCCAGGGCCCCACAGUCCUGCAUUAUAAAGCCAUGUGUUAGGCUUCAGCAAGUAUUACCAAGAAAUACACAAAUAAUGUCAUGACCAAGACAUUUAGAUGACAAGCAUACUUAACGGAAACACCUCUUUCUUAACUCUGGACCCCCUGUGUGCAGCAGUCCAGGCGUCUCCUUUCAAGGAAUUAGGCCAUGUGCGGCACUGAGAGCGCUCCUGGGACCCUGCAGAGAGCCUCUGGGUAUAUUACGUGAUUUGAAACUGUAGCUGAGAAAAUCUGAUGAAGUGGUGUGACUCUCACAAGUCAAUCGUGAAUAUGCAAAAAAUAUAACUUAAUUUUUCUGUAUUUCUAGCCCUUCCUCUUUGGGAGUAGGACCAAUUAACCUCAGUCAUGUUGGACCUCCCCUGCCCUCUUUUCUCUGAGGUUCUGGUAAGUUCCAGGGGUGGGGUGAUGGUGAUGGGAAUUCCACAGUGCGAGGCUUCGGGAGAGGGGAUUCUCGUCUUCCAUGUCAUCUUCUCACACUGGCAGCAACUUGUGGCAUCAGCUGAAGCUGUCCCCUCUGACCCUCGGUCAAGCAUCUGCACAAUUUGCCCCAGGCUCUCCCCUGGUCUGUUGCCUCUUGGCUCCUCCCAAGGUCACUCACAAGCUCGUGGACACCAUUCAGCAGCUCCUGUCCAGAGCUAGGAACAGAAAACCCUGGGAGGUGGACAAAGAGCCUGUCCACCUGGACACACGGUACCAUUUCUCCUCCUAGAAGCCAUAACUUCUAGGUUUCGGAAUUUACACGCUUAUCUGGGAUUUCAAUGCCAACCUGAGGCUCGUGGUCUGGGGCACAGGUGACUCGGUUUCUUGUCCCCAGCGCCUGUCGAUCUAAGCACCACUUGCCUUCGCUCUCUCUCCAACCCAGGGCCCCAGGAAGGAGAGAAGGAAGCCCUGCCCUCACCAUAUUUUCCCUUCCCAUAUUUUCUGUCAAAUACGUUGUCAGUGCCCAAGUCCGUUCUGAUCCUCUACGGACCUGGGUUUACUUGGCUUUGAUUUGAGUUUUUAGGUGUCAUUUAUGUACAAUAAAAUGCAUGGUUCUUAAGUAUUCAGUUUGAACAAAAUAUAGAAAAUUUCCAUCAAUCCAGAAGAUUCCCUCACAAAAGAGCCCACAGUUUUGAAAAUCAAGAAAGCCCCAAAGGUCUCCCCCUAUUGUCCUCUUUCCCACUUGGCUACUUCCCUGUGCUGACAUAAGGAGCACACUGGCCUCGGUGCUGCCACCUAGAAGGGCCAAGGUCGGUAAGGAAACACUGGGGGAGAGGCCACGAGAUGAUAUUUUAAAGUAUGAUCCCCCAUAGGAAUCUUCCAACCACACAGAAUUAUCCUCGUCACAUCUCUGUGUACUUUACACUUUAGCAGGUGCUCUCACACCAAGUACCCUUGCGAUGCCCCUCAGGUACAGAUUAUCAUGUCUACACUGCAGACAAGAACACUGAAGCCUGGAGUGGAGAAGUGCUUUUCCAAGGCCUCACAGUGGGUGGGUGUCCAAGACGAGACAGGAUCCAGGCUCAUACCACGACAUUUCUGUUUCAGGGAGUCUGGUCAUUACGAGUCCCCAGAACAGAGAACAGACAAGGCAGUCACUGAUGCAGCAGAAUCUGAGGGGCUCCCAUGCCCCUGCCCAUAUCUAGAGCCCCCUCAAGUUCCCUAGGCCAGGGUUCCCUUCUUUUACUCUUCGCUAGUUCUUCCCGAGGAUGGAGGUUAAGACCAAGGAGAAUUGCCCUGUAGAGCACGCCAUGAAGACAGAGCCUGGCAGACUCUCCAGGCAGGAAGCGAGCACUGGAGUUGAUGCAGUCGAAGACAGUGAUCCAGCGCAUGGCGUGGGGAGCUGAUUCCGUGGGCCAAAUCUGGUCUUUCUCACUUACAAGCUGUGUGAUUCUGGACAAUUUACCAAACCUCUUUCUGCCUCAGUUUCCCCAUAGUUACAAAAAGAGAAGAUAAUAGAAUAUCGUGCAAAAGGGUUAUUGUGAGAAUUAAAUGAGCUAAUUCAGGUAAGAUAGGUCACUCUGUACCUGAUCCAGAGUCAGCACUAAUAAAUGCUAGUGGGUAUUAUUAUCGAAAGCAGGCUAUAAAAACAUGCAGACACCCAUAUUUCACUGUGUCAUUAACGCUGCAGAAAGACACGCGACUGUGUUGUAAUCCCCUUUGCUGGCAUGUUCAUUUUGGGAAGCCUUGGGGAAUAAGCCAACAUGGCUAGUUGGAAAUGUAAGCAGGAUUCCGUAGUCACGGGUAGAAGCCAGUGCUCCAUUCUCCGGCGAGAGGAGACCAAAGAUGAACGCUCAUGAAGGAAAGGGAUGUUGUCCCGCAGAAAGGCCCGAGUUAAACAGAACUGUGAGGUAAACCGGUGGUUUGAGGGCACUCAUUCCAGUAUCUCUUGCCAGGCAGGGUGACGUGAGGUGACAUAUGGCCAGAAUGAGCAGCUCGGCUGGGCGGGGUAUUCACCCAGGGCAGCUCUGAGUGGCCGCGGGGCCAGAUGGAGACAGGGAUUGUGACACAAGAAGGCCAAAGCCAGCCUGGUGCUCGGCGUGGGGCGGGGGAGCAGCCCACUGAACAGGGAGCCUUAGGGGGAGGCCAGGCGAGUUGUGCAGAAAUGGAGGGGACCCACGUUUGUGCGGUCUCAGGAGGGGCUUUGGGCCUGAUGGAGCCAAGCGAGGGCACAGGGCUCCACGUCUACCCUGGAACCCCAUGUUAGAAAGGAACUGAGUCGGGAGUCGCUCAGUCGGGAGUCGCUCAGUAGGAAUGGAAGUGAGGAGGACUGGUUUGAGGUUUCGGGAAUGGUUCUGUUUUGGCUUUUCUCUCCCUAAGAAAUUGGAAUCUGAAAGAGCCUCUCAGCUUACUGUUGGAAAUCAUCAGGACUAGAAAGACAAGAGGCCAAGAGAGAUUUCCACAAGUGUUAAACUCCUUGGAGCGAGGUGGAAGGAACGGCUGUAGGCAGAGCAGCUGACUUAGAAAAGAGGGAAAGGAAGACAAGCUUGUUAGAAGGCCACAGAGCCUGACUUUCCCUGUGGUCACACGUCAGGCUCCUCAUAACCUGACUCCUUUAUUCCCUGAAAGCUCAUGAUAACAGGGCCUAUGGCCCCUCAGGAGCGCCCAGUAAACACUGGUUCGAUGAAUGAACCCACGACCGGUCACCAAACCUACACACAUGAAUGUCACAAGAACUCCCCAGGCAGCUCACCAUUUAGCACUACAUGGACAGCAAUUCUCUAAAAUGUUUUCAUUUUAGCAUCACAAUUUCACUUUUUUCUUCCUCCUUUCACUUUAGUUUACUGUUUUAUGGUGUCUUUUUUUUUAAUUGCAGUAACAUUGGUUCAUAACAUUAUAUAAAUUUCAGGUGUACACCAUUAUAUUUUGAUUCCUGUAUAGACGACAUCAUGUUCGCUACCCAAAGACUAAUUACAAUCCAUCACCACACACCUGUGCCUAGCCACCCCUUUGACCCUCCUGCCUCCCCAAUUCUCUUUGGGUAACCACCAAUCCAAUCUUUGUUGCUAUGUGUUUGUCAUUGUUUUUAUCUUCUAUUUAUGAGUGAAAUCAUACGUGUUUGACUUUCUAUCUCUGAUUUAUUUCACUUAGCAUAAUACCCUCAACGUCCAUCCAUGUUGUUGCAAAUGGCCAGAUUUCAUCAUUUCUUGUGGCUGAGUGGUAUUCCAUUGUGUACAUAUACCACAUCUUCUUUAUCCGUUCGUCCCUUGAUGGACACAUAGGUUCCUUCCCAGUCUUGGCUAUUGUGAAUAAUGCUGUGAUGAACAUAUGGGUGCAUAUAUUUUUAUGCAUUCAUGUUUUUAUGUUCUUUGGAUAAAUACCCAGCAGUGGAAUAGCUAUAUUUUAUGGUAGUUCUAUUCCUUUUUUUUUUUUUUUUAAUUCCUUAUGACUUUUUCUUCUUCUCCCCAAAGUCCCCCAGUACAUAGUGGUAUAUUCUAGUUGUAGGUCCUUCUGGCUCUGCUAUGUGGGACACAGCCUCAGCAUGGCUUGCUGAGUGGUGCCAUGUCCGUGCCCAGGAUCCAAAACGGCAAAACGCUGGGCCGCUGAAACAGAGUACGAAAGCUUAACCACUCAGCCAUGGGGUCGGCCUCUGGUAGUUCUAUUCUUAAUUUUUUGAGGAAUCUCCAAACUGUUUUCCAUAAUUACUGCACCAGUUUGCAUUCCCACCAGCAGUGUACGAGGGUUCCCUUCUCUCCACAUCCUCUCCAACAACUUCUUGUUUCCUGUCUUGUUAAUUAUAACCAUUCUGACGGGAGUGAGGUGAUAUCUCAUUGUAGUUUUGAUUUGCAUUUCCCUGAUAGUUAAUGAUGUUGAACAUCUUUUCAUGUGCCUGUUUGCCAUCUGUAUAUCUUUUUGGAGAAAUAUCUGCCCAUUUUUUAAUUGGGUUGUUAGGUUUUUCGUUGUUGAGGGGUAUGAGCUUUUUGUAUAUUUUGGAUAUUAACCCCUUAUCAGAUAUAUGGUUUGCAAAUAUCGUCACCCCAAUUGUUAGGUUGUCUUUUCGUUUUGUUGAUGGUUUCCUUUGCUGUGCAGAAGCUUUUUAGUUUGACAUAGUCCCAUUUGUUUAUUUUUUUCUAUUAUUUCCCUUGCCUGGUCAGACAUGGUCCUUGAAAAUAUGCUGCCAACACCAAUGUCAAAGAGCAUACUGCCUAUGUUUUUUUCUAGAAGUUUAAUGAUUUCAGGUCUUACAUUCAAGUCUUUAAUCCAUUUUGAGGUAAUGUUUGUGCAUGGUGUAAGAUAAUGGUCUACUUUGGUUCUUUUGCAUGUGGCUGUCCAGUUUUCCCAACACCAUUUAUUGAAGAGGCUUUCCUUUCUCCACUGUAUGCUCUUGGCUCCCUUGUUGAAAAUUAGCUGUCUGUAGAUGUGUGGGUUUAUUUCUGGGCUCUCGAUUCUGUUCUAUUGAUCUGUGUGUCUGUUUUUGUGCCAGUAACAUGCUGUCUUGGUUACUAUAGCUUUGUAGUAUAUUUUGAAAUCAGGGAGUGUGAUGUCUACAGCUUUGUUCUUUUUUCUCAGGAUUCCUUCGGCUAUUGGGGGUCUUUUGUUGUUCCAUAUAAAUUUUAGGAUACUUUGUUCUAUUUCUGUGAAAAUUGUUGGAACUUUGAUAGAGAUUGCAUUGAAUCUAUAGAUUGCUUUAGGAAGGAUGGACAUUUUAACUAUGUUAAUUCUUCCAAUUCAAGUGCACAGAAUAUCUUUCCAUUUCUUUGUGUCUUCUUGAAUUUCUUUCAACAGUGUUUUAUAGUUGAAACAGUGUUUCAACAGUGUACGGCUCUUUCACCUCUUUGGUUAAGUUCAUUCCCAGGUAUUUUAUUCUUUUUGUUGCGGUUGUAAAUGGCUAUCGUGUCUUAGAGCAUCAUGCAGUUCCAUGGAUGAGCAGCACACAGGAUUGAGAAGCAAUUCCCCCAAGAAGCAGGAGGGUGAUAAUAAGAACUCAGACCCAUGUGACACUUGACAGUUCACACAGUGCUUUUGUGGCAAUCCCAGUGUUUUCAGCUUUGGAGGAGACUGAAACGAAGGACAUGGAAAAGAAUGUCGUUGUCUCGGAGACACAAAAGUGACCGGAGAAAUGUAUCUAGAAAUGAAACUAGGGCUAAGUGCAAGUCUGUGACUCCGCCCCAUCUUCACCUGACGUUUCUAACCCAGGUCAGAGGAUGAUGCACAUUCUCCACCAACAGCUGCAGAAGGGAAACAAUCAAAGGAAGGAGUGGGGAGGGAAGCAGCUCACACCUACACAAGUGUCUCCAGCGGUUCUUUAAAAGGAGGUGAGUUGGGACUGAGAUUUCUCCCGAGCACCAGAGACUCAGACCAGCCAGACGGGCACCACAGAAAGACUCAGUGAUCUGGUCCCCUCUCGGCCAGUGACCUUGCCGGGGGUGGUGAGUGAGGCCACCGCCUGACCACCUGGACCUUCGCUGACUGCAUUUGGAAAAUAGUCUCUCUUUCUUUACAGAGUGGGGAGAGUUAAUUCAUGUUUGCAAAGACCUUUCCAAUCCUUGUAAAAAGGUUCUCUGCCAGCUCUAAUUAUCUGGGAUAUCAGCUGAGACUCAGUUCUCUCUUGGCACAGCAUCUCUGCCCCGGAAGAUGGCAAAUGAGAUUGCUGCUUGGCUGCUGUCAGGAUCAGCCGUCACCAUUGAGCAUCCAGCUGGUGUGGUUGUGUAUCUCUGUAUCCAGUUUACUGCCCAGGUUCCAAACCUCUGCGGGGAGAUGGUGACACUAGACAUGCACUCCUACCCCCUCCCACCCCAUGAGGAGGCAGCUGCCUAUGGGGUACAAUUCAAGAAGCUCCUAAAAGGCCUCCCACAGCCAAACUCAACUCCUCCAUUCCUUCUCAGGAACUGGAAAUCCCUCCACUAAAAAUCCAGUCUUGGGGCCAGCCCAGUGGCGCAGUGGUUAAGUUUGCACAUUCCACUUUGGUGGCCCAGGGUUCGCCGGUUCGGAUCCCGGGUGUGGACAUGGCACUGCUUGGCAAGCCAUGCUGCGGCAGGCGUCCCACAUAUAAAGUAGAGGAAGAUGGGCACGGAUGUUAGCUCAGGGCCAGUCUUCCUCAGCAAAAAGAGGAGGAUUGGCAGCAGAUGUUAGCUCAGGGCUAAUCUUCCUGAAAAAAAACCAAAAUCCACUCCUUUGGGGUGAAGGGGAACAUUUAUAUGAUGACAGACAAAUAAUAAUGCACAACUGAAAUUUCCCAAUGUUGUAAAGUAUUAUGACCUCAAAAAUAGCUUUUUUAAUAAAUAAAUAAAUAAAAUCCACUCCUUUUGGUGUUGGAUGUUUUUCCUAAGAGUGCAGUCAUGUGGAAAGACAAUCCAGCCAGGAGUCAGAAUACCCAGCUCUGGGUUCCCUCCCCUUGGUUCAGUACCGGCUCUGCUCUUUCUAGCCUGGUGACCUGGGAUAAACCCACUCUCUUCCUCUCUCAUUUUUUUUCCGUCUAAAAUGGCACCGCUAAUGCCUAUCUCGCAGGGCUGCUUGAGGAUCAGGCGAGAUAAUGGAUGUGAAAGCCAAGCGUGGCAGAAAUGUAAGAAGCAUUAUUAUUACUAAAAUGCUGGUCUGCCUGGGCUGGCUAAUCCCUACUGGGGAUUAAUUGAUGGCUCUCAGGACUAGGCAGCCUCCUGGGGCGGCAGAAGAGAAGAGCCAGGGGGACCACAGAGGGGAGGAAGACGCCGGAAGAGGAGAAGGGAGGGACCCUCUACUGCUGGGAGCACCUGUGGGAGCAGCCGUGCUCCCACAUCAGCUUCUGCACCCUGCCCCUCUAUUGCCCAAAGAUGUGACGACUAGGGGGUCAUUGCUCAGCUAAAAAGCCAUUGGGAAAAAUAACCGAAUGUGCCUGGUCUACACAGACACAUCACUCAGGUAAUUCUGGCAAAAAGGCCCAGUUUUGGCAUGAGUAGCCUACAUGCGUCAGACCAGAGUAAUUGCUUUCUUUGUCAGAAUUUCCUGGAUCACCUCCUCCCCUUUGUUUGGCUGAAAGAACCAGCCUCCCAUGUGGGAGCCUGCUUGCCAAACAUUAUUGCAUCCUUAGAGAUGAAAGGCACCGCGUGAGCGAUUUUCCAUAAGGUGUCGGCACAUGUGUUAAGUGUUACAAGGGGGAAACGCACCCAUGGGUUUCAUCUGGGAGGAUGACGUGGUAGAGGAGAUGUGGGGAGGGGGAGACCCAACCACAAGAGGAGCUGCUUCUCAGGACCUGCGGGGAUCCGGGCUCUGUUCAGGGCAUUUUGCAUUAAAAAUCUCCUUUAAUCCUCACAACAGCCCUCUGAGGCAGCAUCCAGGAAUGGAAAGAACUUGAGUUGAGAAGCCAAACAUUAAUAGAUUUGGCUCCCUAGCCUGCCGUUUACUGUGUGAACUGGGCAAGCUGCUUGAUGGUGGGAGCUUCAGUCUUCUAUCUGUUGAAUGCAACUGAUGAUGGUGGCCUCGGAGUGUGAGGAGGGAGAGUUCCGUGUAUGACGAUGAAGCCCCUGCCAGGCACACAGCAGGCAUCGAGAAGUGGUGUUCUAGUGUCGUUCUUCACGGAUAAGGAUGCCGACGAGCAAGCAGCUUAGGAGCCCACCGAUGUCACACUGCCGUCAAUAACAGAGCCGGAUCCGGCUCCCUCCACAGGUGUUUGCUUGGAGGCAGUUUAAGGCGGACCCUUCACAGCCUCUCCCACAGGGUUCCAUUUGAGUCUCACCUCCAGCGUUUGUGCGCAGGUUGCAGGCACGAUCAUGUGUUGUUCUGUAGCCACAGCACUCCUCACACAGCGCCUCGCACGCCGUAGUUACUUAGAAAUGUUUGUUAAAAGAGUGGAAGAAUUAAGAAGAGCCCAGAAUAGAUGGACAGAGCUGAGUCUAGGUAGCUGUGUAACAGGUAUCCACCACAUGCCUGAUAACUUGGAGUUGGGACAUGCGGUCCCCUCACGCUGCAUGAGAGUAGUGUGGACACUUUCUGACGCCCAUCUUCAUUAUAGGAAGAGGGACAGCCCUCGGAGGAGAAUCUGUCAGAGGUAACAGAAAUUACCUCAAACAGAAAUGGCACAAACUGGGGACCCAAUGACGAAAAAACAUUGGGAAGAUAAAAUGGAAUCAUGGGCAGGAACAUGCUUUGAAAAUGCUGGAGCCUAUGAAAAGGAAAAGGAUCACCACUUACGUGAACAACAGAAUCCUGGAAGCACACAGCAGGCCCCCCUCAUUCGCGGUUUUGCUUUCCACAGUUUCAGUUAGCCAUGGUCACCCAAGAUCUGAAAAAAAACUAUGUCAUGAUGCCUCCAUCACUCACCUCACUUUAUUUCAUCAGUAGGCAUCGUAUCAUCUCACGUCAUCCAAGAAGAAGGUGAGCACAGUACAAUAAGAUAUUUUGAGAGAGACAGAGCCCACAUCCACAUAACUUGUAUUAUAGUAUAUUGUUAGAAUUGUUCUAUUUUGUUCUUGUUGUUAAUCUCUUACUGUGCCUAAUUUAUAAAUAAACUUUAUCAUAGGUAUGUGAGUAUAGGAAAAAUCAUAGUAUAUAUGGGGUUUGGUACCACUGGCGGUCUCGGGCAUCCACUGGGGGUCUUGGAAGGUAUGCCCUGCACAUAACGGGUGACUUCUGUAGUUAGUGGGUUCUUGUUUGAGAUUCCCUGGGUUGUAGUGAGAAUAUAGGAAAGACAAAGGCCAGGCAGAAUACUCCGAAGAUUGUGGGUUUAGAAGAAUGAAACCAGGAAUGGCACCCUCUCCCCUCCCCCAACUGUUUUCUGCACACAGCUCAGGACCUGAGGCCACAGGAAGCAGUGCCCUUGACUCCCAGAGGAAUGAAGGUGCACUGACAGCAAACCCUCCAGUUAACUACAGAGGGGCAGGCGUGAUGGGGGCUCCAGCCUCCUGGCCAAGUCCACGCUUACUGUGAGCCACCAUCUUUCUGCUGAAAGGCCAAGCCCUGGCACGCAGGCUUUGAGAAGCUGGGGGGCCCCGCCCCCGCCGGCAGUCCGCCUCAGCCCAGCCUGUCUGGCCUGGCACAGGGGUGGCACAGGCCAGGUGCCUGUAAUUACAGACUGGAAUGAACCGGAAGCUGAGAGCUUUUGAGGGCAGGGGCUGAGGCUGAUGUUCUUUGCUGCCUCCGAACCGUGACCACAGCAGGCCUCAUAAGGAGCUGUUGAUUUGAGCUCCUGCAGACUGAAGGCAAGGUCUGUGCCUCCAGGCAAAGCAUCAGCUCCUGCCCCGUGACACGGCUCACCCCUCAGAGGUCUUGGCCCUGGCCUGCUGGGAGAAGCCACGCAGCUCCCAACAAUUGCUGCGGGCCCUCAGAGCGGCUAAUUAGGGUCGUGCCAGGCCAACUGCAACCUGCCAUCAGGAGCUCCUGGCCGGCUUCCUAUUCCCUCUGGGACUCUGCCAUCUCCCUCAUAGGUGAGGUUUGACUUUCUUGAUCUGCAUAAACAAGAAUUCUGUCUUAUUCAAACAUCAGCAAUGAAUUAAAGAAUGUCCUCUGUACAAUGUGUUUGCAUGAUAGAGUUAGAAAAGACACAUACGUCCGCUGAAGUCGAGGAGUCACGCCCCGAGUGGGGAGGUGGCAGAAAACAGGUAAAUGGCAGCCAACAUAGUGAUGUGAACGUGCGUGCUGGCCGAGGAGGGCUUCCUGGGCGAAGUCGUUCAGGAACGGGGCCUGGAAGGGCAGGUGAACAGGAAAUGCAAGAGGACACACUGAGCUGGCAUUUUCCCCCUGUGAUGGUAAUCUCAUGUGUCAGCUUGACUGGGCUGAAGGAUGCCGGAAAGCUGGUAAACAUUACUUCCGGGUGUGUCUGUGAGGGGGUCCCAGGACAGAUUAGCACUUGAAUCAGUAGGCUGAGUAAAGAAGAUGCCCUCGCCAAUGCAGGUGGGCUUCAUUCAAUCCUCUGCGGGCCUGAAUAGAACAAAAAGGCAGAGGAAGGGCAAAUUCAAUCUCUUUGUUUGAGCUGGAUGUUCAUCGUCUCUUGCCCUUGGACAUCAGUGCUCCUGCUCCUCGGGCCUUCAGACUUGGACUGAGAAUUGUGCCAUCGGCUCCCGGGUCUCAGGCCUUCAGCCACCGACUGAGUUACACCACUGGCUUUCCUGGGUCUUCAGCUCGCGGACGGCAGAUUGGGGACUUCUCAGCGUCCAUAAUUGUGUGAGCCAAUUUGUAUAGUAAAUGUCCUCUAAAAAUAUCUCUAUCUCUAUCUAUCUAUCUAUCUAUCUAUCUAUCAUCUAUCCUGUCGGUCUGUUUCUCUGGAGAAUCCUGACCAAUACACCCCUAUUCAGGUGGCACAAAUUUAAAAGUAUGACAACGCCAAGUGCUGGAGAAAAUGUACCCAGAGGUUCUCUGUCUCCUGGUGGGGGUCUAUACAGUUGAACAGCUCCCAGAGGGACAGUCGCAUCCUCCAUGACCCAGCAAUUCCAUUUCCUGGCCUAUCCUGAAGAAAAACUUUCAUGCAUGUACAAAAAUGACCAUAUCAGGACUGUUCAAAUGCUCACCAACGGAGACUGGGUAAACAGACUGAGGCGUAUUCACACCGUGGGGUAUCAUCCGGCAGUCAAAAUAAAGGGACUAGAGUGACAGGUAACAAUAUGGAUGAUGCUAAUAAACAAUAAUUUUAAGUGAGAAAAGUAAGUCCUUACAGCAUGAUACCCUCUUAAAGAAGGUAAAGACAAUUAAAAUUUAACGGAUACAUUUUAGGAAUACAUAGUGAAGAGAUAAAUACAUAUGGAUAAUGUCAGAUGAUACAAGCAGGAAAAUAAGAAUGCACAAAGGAUUCAGGAUGGUGUUUACUUAGUAGAAGGGAAGGAAGGGGGUGUAAUGGGGUGGAUCUUUUAUUACUUUAAAAUGUGAUAUACAACAUAGGGAGGGAGCAGGAGAGGGCCAUGCAUGGACCAAUAAUAAAAAUAUAUGGUGAGCCAAGGAUUAUGAUUUAGCCAAUUUUGUGUACCCGAGGUCCAUUAGACUUUUUUAAGUGGUGGAGCAUUUGAGGAAAGGAGAAUGUCAUGAGCAAAGGGAUGGGUAUGUUUUGGGGACAAUAAAGGACCCAGACUUGCUGAUGCCAAGGGUGACUCGAGAGUCCCUCAGGUCAGCAGCUGAGGUGUAGGUGCUUGGAACCACUGGACCCACGCCCAGAGUACCGAGGGCCCAGACCUUAGCCUUGCCUUUCAGAAUCAGAGUGUUGGAUGGCUUCAUCCCCCAGAGGAGAACAGAGGCUGGGUGUACGCAGGAGGAGUCGGUGGCUGUGGUCCAGCACUGUCGUACUAGGGCAUUGCCUCCUAUUGCAGCAAUUUGCUCAUCCCUAAUUGGCACCUCUGAAUUGACAUACCUUUCACUAGAACGACAGAAGUAUUCUAACCCUGGAGCAGAUCCUAGUCUUAGACUCCACCCAGGUUCUAGAACAUUGGCCUGGUUGCUGUGAAGGAGGUGGGGCCUUGGAUUCACAAUCGCUGGGCAUUGUUCUGUCAGAGUUCUUGUCCUGGUUCCGAGGCGCCCAUCCUGGUGGCCUCCAGGACCUGCUCUGGUCUCUCAGCUCAGUUUACCUCAGAGUACGCAAGAACCUCAGGAUGCUCCACACCUCUCCUGCCUCUACAAAUGUAUAAACACCCCCACGCAGCCUCACCUCCUUCCUACGCUGCUAGGAGGGUGCAGCCCCGCUCAGCUCCUAGGCAAGCCCUCCUUCUGCCCUUGACCACACCCUCUCCCAGCUUCUUGCUGCGUGAGCCUUUCUCUGUAUCUUCAAGCUCUCUCCUCUGGCUCUCCUCCCCUCCCUGAGCCUUGACACACGCUCAGGUGUCCACCAACCUGAGAAAGUAAACUUCCCCUAAACCCUUCAUAGUUAUCACCCAACCUCUCCUUCCCUUUUCAUUUAAACCUCUUGAAAGAAAAGCCUACACUCACUGUCUUCACUUUGGUUCUCCCUUCUUCAUUACCCCAUUACUUGCAAUCUGGACUUUACCACCCACCCACUCCCAGCUCCCUAGAACAGUUCUGAGUUCACCAGGGUCCUUUUAAUUGCCGAAUAUAAUAGAACCUUUUUUUCAGUUCUUCUCUUUCCAGCCGACUCUACUAUGUGCUCUCUUGUGACUCUCUCCUUCUUGAAACUCACUGCUCCACUGGUUUCCAUGGUCUCUCUUGGCCUUCCUCUUUAAUCUUGGACUGUUUCUUCUUGGAUUCCUUUGUAUUUGCCCUGAAAUGUUGAAGGGUCUGUCUUUGGCCCCCUCGUCUUCCCUUCUUCUACUCGCUCUCCCUGGAUAAUUCAACUCUUGGUUGAUUCGACCACCAAAUAUUUGCUGAUGGUUCUCAGAUCUGUAUCUACAGAUGACAUCCUCCUUCUAACACCCAACUUCCUUUAGUCAUCACCACCUGGACAACCUGCUGUCACUUUAAGCCCACAGGUCAAAAAUUCAUCACCUUCCCCCCAAAUUUGUGUUUCCUCACUGAGUGGGCACCACCAUCGUCCCAUCCAAUCUGGAUUUCACUCUUGAUUUCUUCUUCCUUCUCACCUCCCCCCAUUACUGAAUCAAUCACCCAGUCUUGUUGAUUUUACUUCCUAAAUAUUCCUCCUCUCCAGUCCCACCAUGACCCUAAUUUGGGCUCUAGCUAUUCUGUUGAAGUGGCCUCCUUAUCUCUGUAUCCUCCUCGAAGUCAUCCUCCCCCAAGUAGCCAGAACAUUGUUUCUUCAGCCCAGGCUCUGGCCAUACCACUCUCCUGCCCCUAAUCCUAAGAGAAAUUCCAGGUCCUGCACAAGACAAAGACAUCCCCAGUGGUCUUCCCAUUCUCUCACCGCUGCCUUCUUCCUGCUCUACCAUCCUCCAAAGCAGAGCUACUCUUCACAGCUGUCCACUCCAUCUCACACGCUCAUCUUCUUGUUGGUACUGGGCUCCUGGGGUGCUUGCUCACCCUCACAACCUAGACCACUGCAACUCAUCCUCCAGCCUGGCUCUACCUCCUCCAGGGCACACUUCCUGGCUCCCCAGGCCAGGUGGGUCCCCAGCCCUCAUCCCUGGAUGAGUCUCCAUCACCCUACUUUUCACAUUAUGUUAUAUUUGCUUGACUACACAUCUAUUUCCCUCACUGGAUUUGGUCAGGGGCAAGGCGUUAUUCAUCUUUCUAUACUGGGGCCCCACCACAAGACCUAGUUCAGCCAGUGUUUCCUAAAUAAAAGAAUGAAUGACCUUGUGAGUCCCCUUCCAGCUCUGAGGAUUUUUGUUUCUCUGUUGACUUUAGAAAUUGGUGGGGCUGGCCCGGCAGCACAGCGGUUAAGUUUACACGCUCCGCUUCGGCGGCCCUGGACUCGCCGGUUCGGAUCCCGGGUGCGGACAUGGCACCACUUGGCAAGCCACGCUGUGGUAGGCAUCCCACAUAUAAAGUAGAGAGGAAGAUGGGCACAGAUGUUAGCUCAGGGCCAUCCUUCCUCAGCAAAAAGAGGAGGAUUGGCAGCAGAUGUUAGCUCAGGGCUAAUCUUCCUCAAAAAAAAAAAAGAAAGAAAUUGGUAAACUUUGAACUUCAAAGGAAGCAGGAGAGAAGUAAAGAAGAUGCAGAAAUGAAGUAUGAACUGGAAUGCAUGCUCUGUAAUUCUCAGCCCUGCUCUUGAAGAGCUUCCAUCCUAAGUAGUGUGUGGUGCACGAAGCACUCCCUUCUGAGGGAAAAGCAGCGGAGGGAAAACCAAGUUCAGCUCUGACCCUCCUUUAAGACCUUUCGAAAAAGGUGUUCCUUCUUUUGGCUUCUGUCUUCCACGUAUAAAAUGGAAGUAGCAUUUCCAUUUGGAAUUUAUUUACUGAGCAGACAUUUCUCAUACAUAAGUGGUUCCCUAUCUCAUGCCGUGUAUGGCAAUACAUUUCCAAUAUGGCAGCAAGCAAAACGCAAAAAGCAUUAAAAAGAAGAAAACACAACUGCAUAUUGAUUCUAGCAAUGGAGCAAAGAAAUUUCUAGCUCUUGACAUACUGAGGCUGUCAUCAUACAAGAUAGAUAGGUUUGAAUAAGUAAAUCUUUGUACAAAAAAAUUCUACAAAAUAUAUAUUAAAAGGAAAACAAUAGAAUGGGGAAAAUAUGUCAUCAAUAUAACUGCAAAGAGCUUAUUAACAAAAUUAUUAAAAUUGGUAGAAGUGCAUAAUGUACCCACCUAGAUGGCCCUCCAAGAAGUGAGCAGAGAGCCAUCCAGGUGAUGUACUCAGGAGCCACUGUCACAGCCCCAGGGAGCCACAGUGUGACCCGGAGAGAGCCUCAGAUUAGUAAUGAGUCAGAGUCCACACAUUCAACUUACUUAAUGAGCCUGUGUCUGUCCUUUCAUGUGGAAAAUGGAUAUAAUUAUACCUACUUUUCAGGAUUCUUCUGAGGAUAAAUUAGAGGGCCUGUCACUACAGUGAGCAUUCAAGAAAUGGGAUUAUUAUCAUUAUCAGAGGGUAAAGAUGCACAGCAUUACUGGCAAUUAAAGAUAUGGAAAUUAUGACAAAUUAAAGGUAGCAUGAUGUAUCUAUUGGAGUAACAAAAAGAUACCCAAAUUCACAAAAAGGCUUGCACGAGAAUAUUCAUAGCAGCUUUAUCCAUAAUUUGCAAAUCCUGGAAAGAGCCCAGGCGUCCAUGAGUGGAUAAACAACUUGUGGUAUAUUCAUACAAUGGAAUACUUCUCAGCAGUAAAAGGAACGACUCACCCAUACAUGCAAUAAGGUGGAUGGAUCGGAAAAUCAUCACACUGAGCAAAAGAGGCCUCUCACAAAAGAUUUCAAACCAUAUGAUUGCAUUUAUAUGAAAUUCCAGAACUCUAGAAGAAACUUACCUAUGGUAGAAAAAAUCAAAAUAGUGAUUGCUUUCGGAGGAUGGGGUCAGGGAUUGACCAAGAAGGGGCAUGAGGGAAUUUUCUGGAAUAACAGAACUGUUCUAUAUCAUGAUAGGGGAUUGCAUGUGCAUUUGUCAAAACACAGAAAAGGCACACUUACAAUCUGUGCAUUUCAUUAUAUGUAAGAUUUAUCUCAAAAGGGAAAACUAUAAAUAAAUAUUGAACUCUGGUUAAUAACGUGCAUGCUGAAGUAUUUGAGGGGAGUGUACCGGUGUCUGCAAUUUACUUUGAAAUAUAUAAAAAGCAAGAUGAAUUCUUGGGUGGCUAGAUGGGUGGAUAUGAGAUAAAGCAAAUACAGUGAAAUCUUAAAGGUGGAAUCCAGGUGGUGAGUGUUCACUGUAAAAUUAUUUCAACUUCUCUGCAUGUUUGAAAUUUUUCAUAAUAAAAUAUUAGGACAAAAAAGAACUCAUAUUUGUAGGAAUCCUGAACUCAUUCUACAUGGUGGCCUUGGAAAUAUUGUAUUGAUCUUUCUGUGGAACAUUUGGGCCAUAUGUACACAUUUUGACCCAUUAAUUCCUCUUUGGGUAAUAUGGCCCAAAGAACUGUAAAGAUUUUCCCUUCUCUAUACUCAUCAGAGAGCUGGGCCUAGAAAACGGACUAGUAUGGACGGGUUAGGUGGAUAAAUCCAUGAGUUUCUGGAGAUACAGGAGAAGGAUCAUUUGUGAGAAAGAUGCAACCACCUGAAGAGCAGAUUCAGCCUCUUCAUUCUCUGCCUUCUGCCUGCAGGUCAGAUGAGACUGACCAAGUAGCCAGAUGUGUUUUAAACAGAUCACUCAGCAUUGUUCUACCACAAACAGCUACUAUUUGUUGACUGUCUACUACCUCCAGCCCCUUGAUGUUCACCAUCUGAUGCUCUCAACAAUCCUACAAAGUAAGGAUCACCAUCCUCACCUGCAGAUAAAGAGAGUGAGGCUCAGGGAGGGUGAGUGGUUUGUCGAAGGCCAUGCACCUAAUGAGAGUUUGAAUCAAGUCUGUCCAAUUUACAGCUUACCCUCUUUCCACUCUGUCAAGCUGUGUUUGAAGAAUUCAAAUGAUUUUGGCCUAACUAGGAUUGCUCCUAAAGGAACCAGAGAUGUCUGUCAUCCUGAAACAAAACAGUAGACAGUGAAAGACUGAAUGGUACAUCUUCUCGGCUCUCGGGUAAGGUGUCUGAUGGAAGCUCCACACUUUAUAGGUUCAGGGGCCAUCGCAGGAUCCUGUUGGAAUAAGGCCAUAGGGGGAACAGGGAGGCAGCCUCCGCUGGCUGACUCACCGAUACCAUGAUUCCAUGCUCACUUUCCAGGUCAAACUGUGCCAAUCUGAGGCCUAAGCUCAAACUGCCUUCAACUCUUCUCACUUGUGUCUUUCGCCAGCUCAGCAAAGAGGAACUAGGAGAGAGGAAAGAGGCACAGGCUGACGCUCUAUCACUCCUCCCCUCUGAGAACAUCGCUCUGUUUGUGAGCACCUCUCCAGCCCUCCUCCUAGCCUGUUUCCUGAUUAGCA
Molecule: long non-coding RNA, 18014 nt
Filed under: Equus caballus (horse)
Lineage: Eukaryota; Metazoa; Chordata; Mammalia; Perissodactyla; Equidae
Description: lncRNA (ENSECAG00000054358.1)
Source: RNAcentral